This is a long non-coding RNA of Dromaius novaehollandiae (emu), 2090 nucleotides long. RefSeq lists it as uncharacterized. The transcript has 3 exons. NCBI's taxonomy places the organism in Eukaryota, Metazoa, Chordata, Aves, Casuariiformes, Dromaiidae. The record is from RefSeq and is a predicted model, not a curated record.
UGGGUUUUUAAAUAACUUCACUGCAAAGAUUUCUUGUACAAGUUCCUUUGCUGGCUGUUUGUGUCUACCACAUCACUAACUAAGCAGAAUUAACUCUAAAUUUCUGGUUAUUUUUAGUAAACUUCUUUCUUCCAUGCUGUGCACUUGCACAAUCCAUAUUCUAACUACCACUUUUUCUGACUGCAAGCAAGUUUGUCUUGCUUCAUGUCUUUAAUAGCAGCAUUAAAGCAUAAUUAAUUUCCUUGUAAUCUGCCUCUUGAUAUCAGAAUCUAAUUAUAUUUUCUUGUGAAAAAUUUGUAAUGACCAUUCAAAUAUAAUUAAGAAAUCAGAUAAUGAGUGUCACCUAAGAUAAAACAUGGUCUUGAAAUUCUCACUUAUGCUGUAGUGACGCUUCAGAAAUAGAUAAAAUGCUCCUGCUUUCAUUAUGCAGUGUUUUUUCUUGUAGAGAGCAGAGUAACGCAAGACUUCACAACUGCAGCCUUUCCUCCUGAUUAUAAUUCAGCAACGUGUUUAUGUCCAUGCAUAAAUAUUCUGGUCGCAUUACUCCAUACUCUAAACAAGCUACACUGGUUACUGCACUUUGGACAGGAAAGAAGAGAACAAGCUUGAUCAACAGGAUUCAGAUGCCAGACAUCUAUAAUAGCAUGACAAGGCUCCAAUUGGUUAGUGCCCCACAGAGAACUGAAUUGAGAAACCAAGGUGGUCUUUUCAUAGCCUAUUUGAAAGAAUUUCUUGGCAAUGGUUCCAGCAAUGGACUCUAAUUCAGCACUGUUGGCUAGAAAACUUGAAGUCUCUAGACAAUCUUAUAACCCUUUCACUUCACAACCUAAUUUAAAACAUUUGCGUGUAUGUGGUGACUGGCAAUAAAAUACAGAAAAAUCUCAGAACAGAGGAAGUAUAGGCUUUGUGGGUUCCUCCCCAGAUCCCUCCCAUCACUGCUAAAUGGAGGAGAGCAAACAAGUCUGGGAUACAAAAAGUAUGAGUAACAAAGUGGGUCAUAUUUCAGCAGUGUCAUACACAGUGAAUCCCUGACACAAUAACUCUCAAACUCCUAGAGAAAUAGACGCUUACCUUAGAUAAGUGUCAUGGCCAAAGUGAAGGUUGCUGUUUAGAAGGGGAUCUGACUGUUUAUGUUAUUACAUUUAUAGCUGGGUACUUACUGUGAACAGCUAUUACAGAAUAUUUGGGGGAUAAAUGGGACUUAUUCUGCCAGAUCCUGAAACUUGCACACUCUUUUUUUGCAACUUAAUUUCUGUUUGGUUGGCAGUUGCAUGCUUAAAAUCAGAGAUGAUACUCUAUCUGCUGCUUAUUGCUUAUAUUGUAUUUGAUUCAAAUACGUGUCAUUUCUAGUUUCACUACAACUUAGAAGUGAAAAUUUUGAGCUGGAGAACAAGUAUUUCAAGAUGAAACCACCUCCUUCUCUGCACCAAGCUGCCUCUUCAUAAUUUCCAAUACUUCAAGAAUCUUUGUUUAGUAAAUAUAUUAAAUAUACUGUUUAAUAAAUCUAUUAUUUUUGGACAAUAUCUUAAGAACUACAUUUGUAAAUUAUGUAAGGUCUUAUACAGCUGAGCAAGUGCUUCAUUUUGACUUUUGACAAGUGUCUAAAAAUAUUAGAAAAUGGCUUUAUUUUCAAGAAUGUUGCAUAAAGUUAAUAUUUAUUGUAAUUUGGUGAUACCUGCAAAGACAGCCAGAGAGAUUUUUACAAUCUAUAAAUAAUAUCCCUCUGCAAACCACAGUACCUAGGGCUAAAACAAUCUAUUACCUAUUCUAAAUGUUUAGGAUAAUUCUGGGAAGGACAGUCAGCCACAGAAAACAGUGCUCUCCCUAUCCACAUUAUGAUUAGUAUGAGUAGGACAAUUAACUUUGCUGGUAUCACACUACAAGCAUUCAAACACUUAUGCUGUUUCUCUUUACCUUACAUAAAAGUCAACCUUUUUAUCUGACCUAUGUGACAGAUAUGUUAGUAACAGUGGUGAUAAAAAUCAGCAUGAAUAACUAUUGGCACAAUAAGGAUUAAUACAGUUACAUUUUGCCUGUACCACUUUAACUAUAAAAGAAUAAAUGCUGAAAGAAUCAUAAUGACCUGAGAG